This 504-nucleotide ribosomal RNA is filed under the name Sediminibacterium sp. VITPRS19. RNAcentral describes it as "bacterial SSU rRNA". It matches the Rfam family "Bacterial small subunit ribosomal RNA", at positions 9 to 504 of the family's 1533-position model. Lineage: Bacteria; Pseudomonadati; Bacteroidota; Chitinophagia; Chitinophagales; Chitinophagaceae. The record is from RNAcentral.
CGAGUUUGAUCGUGGCUCAGGAUGAACGCUAGCGGCAGGCUUAAUACAUGCAAGUCGUGGGGCAGCAUGAGUGUAGCAAUACAUUUGAUGGCGACCGGCAAACGGGUGCGGAACACGUACACAACCUUCCUAUAAGUGGGGAAUAGCCCAGAGAAAUUUGGAUUAAUACCCCGUAACAUAACGAUGUGGCAUCACAUUGUUAUUAUAGCUUCGGCGCUUAUUGAUGGGUGUGCGGCUGAUUAGAUAGUUGGCGGGGUAACGGCCCACCAAGUCUACGAUCAGUAGCUGAUGUGAGAGCAUGAUCAGCCACACGGGCACUGAGACACGGGCCCGACUCCUACGGGAGGCAGCAGUAAGGAAUAUUGGUCAAUGGACGCAAGUCUGAACCAGCCAUGCCGCGUGAAGGAUUAAGGUCCUCUGGAUUGUAAACUUCUUUUAUCUGGACGAAAAAAGGCUUUUCUAAGUCACUUGACGGUACCAGAUGAAUAAGCACCGGCUAACUCC